ACACCUCUUAGUGGCUGCCCCUUUGCAGGCCUUCUUGGGCCAGGCCAUAGGAGCUCAGAGUAUGGCGUUGGGGACACCCUCCCUUUCCUCCAGCUCAACCUAGGAUCCUUAGGAGUCUCCUAGUUUCCUCAAUUCUCAUAAUUGAUGAAGACUGGUGAGAUGCUCCUAAAAUACCUCCGUCCCCAGCUCUGCCUCAUAGCAGCCCCACUUCUCAGAAGCUCAUGACUUUGGGCCUGUACUUCAAAUGUGUGAUUUGCACAGCUUUCUGCAGGACACUGGUUAUUCUGGAAGCAGCACUGGACAGAAAAGCUCAGCUCUGCCAAGGCCAGCUCGUUACUGGCUCGUAUCCGGAGACCAUCCAGCUCCUUCCUGUGGGCCUGCAGCACCAGCUCUGUCAGACGCGUGAAAGACUGGAAAACCAAGGGGCACGGGUUAGCCAGCGUCUUCUCUUCCCGGCAACUCUGUAACGCCCAAGGGGCCAGUCCUAUCUUAUCUUGGCUCCUGUCUCCACCUCCUCCUCUCACCUCCCCACUCUGCGGACUCAGCCAGAGGCAGGGCAGCUGCUGCCCAGUGGUCUCACCUCUUUAAUAUUGAGCACAAGGAGGAUAGGAAUCCAUUUCCUCACUGCAAAACAUAGCUAUGCCUGGAUGUGAUUCAAGAAGACAUUAGCAACUUGAAGUCCUUCCUCAUCCCUAACAGGGAUGCUCUGGGCCUGAAGGUGCUGUGGAACAUGUGAGAGGACCUGACGAUGGUGAGUGCACUCCCAGUCCCCGCUCCCAGGACUGGCCCUGGAGGUACUAC
Long non-coding RNA from Urocitellus parryii (Arctic ground squirrel), 801 nucleotides. RefSeq lists it as uncharacterized. The record is from RefSeq and is a predicted model, not a curated record. Lineage: Eukaryota; Metazoa; Chordata; Mammalia; Rodentia; Sciuridae.